Molecule: long non-coding RNA, 808 nt
Organism: Telopea speciosissima
Lineage: Eukaryota; Viridiplantae; Streptophyta; Magnoliopsida; Proteales; Proteaceae
Exons: 3
Source: RefSeq, a predicted model, not a curated record
AGCUGAGAAGGUUAUAAAGCUUGUAUAAAAAAGGAAGAUCUGCAACUCUGUAAAGUAUUUGGAGCACACUGAAAAAAGACUCGGUUAAGAGUUAGGUCAAAGAGGUGGGAGUAUUUGCACUUCAUUGUGCCCAUGGCAAUGAUUUGGAAGCGAAUGGUUUCGAACAGCAGCAAUACGCUCUCAAUGACACAUUUUGUUCCUAGUGGAUUCUCAAGAUUUUUCUCCAAAUCCAGCUAGUACAUAGUGAAGGUUGGAAUUUCGAAGUUUGUAAGUGGAGUUGGCAAGGGUGUUGAAACCCAUGCAGAAAAACUUGAAAAAGAGAUUGGUGAUUUCCAGAAGCUGCUUGUCACCCGCACUCUCAAGCUCAAGAAACUUGGCAUUCCUUGCAAACAUAGGAAGCUAAUCUUGAAAUAUGCACACAAGUAUCGGCUGGGACUCUGGAGACCUCGAGCUGAACCUGUGAAAUCACAUUCCUAGUCCUUGAAGGCUUGGAACGAUCACUCCUGUUAGGUGGGUGAUGUUCUGUUCAAUCCUAUCCCCUCACUUGAAGAAACACACCGUAUGUAGUACCUGUUUGAUGGUUUUGACGUACAAAAGAUGUUCUUCUACAACCUGUUCUAUUUUGGCUGUCAAAACUGCUAUCAAUUUCAUUUUUGUCAAAAAUCACAUAGCUUGAUGUUGAAUUUUGGACGCUUAGAUAUCUUAAGAAGCUGCUCUUUAGUUGGGGGGGAAGGGUUGAAAGGGAAGCUGCUUUUUUAUUUGAAACUUAUUACCCUUUUCAAAUAAAAACUGAAAAAAUAUCUCUCUC